This 1052-nucleotide unclassified non-coding RNA is filed under the name Hevea brasiliensis (rubber tree). The record is from RNAcentral. Lineage: Eukaryota; Viridiplantae; Streptophyta; Magnoliopsida; Malpighiales; Euphorbiaceae.
AAAAGUUUAGCUUCGAAACCUAAAACUGUGAAGAGUGGAACUACAUUAGAUAGCUUAUUACAUGGAUCUGUUGACAAGUGGCAACACAACAUGCAAACGGUAGGUAUUACAUCAUCAAGGUUUCUGUCCCAGGAGUGACGGUCUAUAGAAAACAUGGCUUUGGGCUAUCUCAAUGCGAUCUUUUGGGUCAUUCAUUGUUUCAUCCCUUAAUACUUGAAGAAUGGCCCGUGCAGGAAACUCCCUGGACAUUCGAAUACAUGAAAAGGAUUAGAUUGCACUUCUGCGCCUAAUGUAACAUAUGAAUUCAGAAAAGUGGCGUCCAUAAAAGAACAGAUAUAGUGUUCACAGAUAUUGGCUUGAUCAAGUCCUAGUCCAACUUUACUACUGCACAUGCAGUGUGCGUAUGUGGGUGGAUAGGUAUAUUGGUAUUUAUGAACAACAAUCUACAUAUUAUCAAGGGAAAAGUACACUUAAGUAUCAUGUGGUUUACGUGUUUUAUUAAAAGGGGCUUGAAAUUUUCUUUUUUGCACAUAAGGGCUUAUGAUUUAAUACCUUUAACACUUAAGGGACAAAGUGACUAAUGGUAUUAAAUUUUUACUAAUGCGGCAGGUAUACGCUGACAUGGCAAUGACGUGGCAAAACGUGGCAUGCCAUCAAUGCCAUGUUAGCGACAAGUCAGCGCCACAUCAGUAAUUUUAUUAUUAUUAUUUAUUUUGAGACCUAAGUGCAAAAUGUUAAAAGCACAUGUCCCUUAAGUAUCAAAAGCUAAAAGCACAUGUCCCUUAAGUGCCAAAAAAAAGGAAAACUUGGGCCUUGAAUGUUAAAAGUUUGAAAGUAUAUGAUACUUAAAUAUAUUUUACCUUUGAUUUACAAAUAAGUAUUUAAAUUUUGACAAAUAAGUCCAUAAGUAUUAUAAUUAUUAUAAUCCAUUUGCUCUUUUCUCUCCCUCUCACUCUGUUUCUCUUUGUCCAUGUCUUUCGCCAUUUCUCUUACUAUUUAGGUCUCUCUCCCUCUAUCCAUCUCUUUCUGUCCCUCUCUUUCUAUUUGGGUCU